This 408-nucleotide ribosomal RNA is filed under the name uncultured bacterium. RNAcentral's name for it is "partial 16S ribosomal RNA". It matches the Rfam family "Bacterial small subunit ribosomal RNA", at positions 355 to 774 of the family's 1533-position model. The record is from RNAcentral.
UGGGGAAUAUUGCACAAUGGGCGAAAGCCUGAUGCAGCGACGCCGCGUGAGGGAUGACGGCCUUCGGGUUGUAAACCUCUUUCAGCAGGGAAGAAGCCACAAGUGACGGUACCUGCAGAAGAAGCGCCGGCUAACUACGUGCCAGCAGCCGCGGUAAUACGUAGGGCGCAAGCGUUGUCCGGAAUUAUUGGGCGUAAAGAGCUCGUAGGCGGUUUGUCGCGUCUGCUGUGAAAGCCCGGGGCUUAACCCCGGGUGUGCAGUGGGUACGGGCAGACUAGAGUGCAGUAGGGGAGACUGGAAUUCCUGGUGUAGCGGUGGAAUGCGCAGAUAUCAGGAGGAACACCGAUGGCGAAGGCAGGUCUCUGGGCUGUUACUGACGCUGAGGAGCGAAAGCAUGGGGAGCGAACA